GCCGGCUCUAAACUGCCCUCCGUGAUUGGACAAUACUGAUCAGUAAUUACUCGAUUCCACCAAUCAUGUUGCUCGUCCCGCCCGGCAGGUAGGAGGUGGGCCUUAUGCCGGAGCCUCAUCCUACUGCCUUACUAUUGGUCGUCGGCAACCGCUUUGUUAGUUAAUUGGAGAGACUGGAUGUCCAUCAGGGUCACGCUUGCAGGGCAACGAGAGGCAAAACAAGAGGGAAGACGACUUUCCUCCUGUGAGCCAAUGAGGCCAGCUGGACUACGCCGAGACAACUGGGAGAGGCGCGGGACUCGCCCGUUCCGCGGAACGCCGGGAAGGGGUCACCUCCUGAUGAAGUUUCCGGUUCCGGUGUCAGCGGCGGUUGAAUUGCCAUGGCAAUGCGAUUCAUUGAUUCCAGGUAAAUCAGAGGAACAAGCAACAUGAACAGAAAUAUGUAGAAAAAGCUAUUAUGCAGAAGCAUAAUUGUUGUUUCAGAAGUCCAGCAUCUGGUGCACUUAACAAUAGAGAAUAUAUUAAACUCUUUCCAAAAUAACCUGUUGUUCCUACCUGUGUUGUAAGUGUUUUGUUUGUUUUUAAGUAAAUAUUGGUGAUUUGUUGCCAAAAACCUAAACUGUUUGUUGCUGUCAACUUAAAUAACGAACAGAGAGAGGCUCUCUAAAAGAAAAUGGCAUUUAUUCAGGAAUAGAGCACUGCAAUGAGAAAAUGCAUGCGAUAGUUAACUGUGUGUAUCCUGGGAGAUAGAGGAAGACAAAGGUCUUUAAAGGAAAAAUGAGGAGGGUUACAUAAUUGUUUUGAGAUAAUUAUUUUUGACUACAAGGAUCAGUAACAAAGGUGACACCAGUCCCAGGUUGGACAGGCAGGUGCUCGGCAGGCAUUGCAGAAGUAUUUUUUGUGUAAGAUUGAGAUGGCCUUUGUGCAGGAUUGUGGUUUUGGAAUCUUCUGUGAUCGUUUUUGCUAUCAGGCAUUUAUGCUUGCGAACUCUUUAUGGCCUUCCCUGUGUCUAUUUUGAUUCCACCUUUCUCAUUGCCCACUCUAAACUGUAAUUCUGCUUUUAUGUUGACUGAGAUCAGGAGAAGAAUUUGCAAACUUAUAUCCUGAGACAGAACAGUAAUGAGGAGUAUCGUGUUCCUUACCUAAUGUAUAAUAUUGGGCUCAGAAGCAGUUGUCUUUUUUAUUUGUUGAACGUUGUAUUAAGUUGAGAAUGCAGCUGCCAUUAAAGAUUAAGAGUAAUCCUUGAGAAGGAAGAGUACAAAGCCUGUGUUUUGCUAAAUCAUAGUGAAGUUGCCGUGUUUUUGUAGAAUAUGAUAAGAACAUACAGUGUGUGAAAUGCUAAGGAUAUGGAAAAGCAUGUUGGUGCUCUUUCAAGGAGCUAUUUUGAUAGCAUGAGCAAGGGCAGGAAACAGAUCAUGUAUCUGAACCAAAGAAAUUGAAACAAUACAUCUAAAUUUAAAUUUUUAAUAAAACAACCCAAAAUAUAGUGAAAUACUUAGCACCAAACAUCAGUGAUCUUAAGAAGCAAAGAAAACAGUAUUCAAAAUACUUCGUCCAAAGUAUCAGACUUUUGCAUAAAGUUUGGCAUUUUGGUUUUGAGAUUCCUCUUUAGUCCUAUGAUGAAAACAUGACAAAAUAUACAUCUUAAAUAAACAGUUGUCAUCAGUCUGCAUCUAUGACCAGAUGUUUUGGGUGUUUUGAGUAAAUGGCCUGUCUUAGCAUGUGAUGGCUUCCUGCCUCGUGAACAUUAGUGAAGAGGUGAGGGUGGGAAGUACUCAGGAACUUCUGAGAAUCCUGGGAUUUGAGUCACAGGAUUGGUUAAACCCCAAACUAAAUAAUCAUGCCGUGUAAACAUGCUGACUCAGGCAUCCUAAAAAUGUUUUUCUUCCUUGUGUUUAUUUAUAGAUAAGGCUUUACUAUAUUUGGUAGAACUCCUGUUUUCUAUCCACUUCUCCAAAAACAAAUUCGCCAUUGAAUUCAUCGUGUAAACCUCCACAUAUCUGAGAUAGCUUCUUCCGUUUAUCAGCCCCAAAUGAAGAACUAGAGUUCAGAUUAUUGAACUGAAGGUGAUGCUUUAUCUGAGCACUCCACAUGUCAGUGUUUCUGUACCUUUACUUUUUUAAAAAAUUAUUUUUUAAAAAGAUGAGGUCUCAGUAGGUUGCCCAGACUGGUCUCCAACACCUGGUCUCGAAUACUCCUCCCGCCUUGCCCUCCCAAAGUGCUAGGGUUACAGGUGUGAGCCGCCGCACUGGCCCUGUUCAUUUUAUGCUCAGUGCUGCAUUCUUGUUUGUUCUUAGAAAAUGAGAGGGUGUGUUUGCAUGAGAACGUGUGGUACAGAAGUGUCUAUCUGAGCUGGCCAGAACAUUCUGCAAAUGUCAUAUUAAGGGCAAAAUGGCUGCUUGGAUUGUACAAGGGGCCGAACCACCACGCAUUCCUAAGCUAAAAUAGCAGAUUCUAUUGACCUGAGCUGGAACCUGAAAGCUUCCUCUGUGAUGCACUGAGCUAUCAUCUAGUAGUUUUAGAGCAUCACUGCAACCCUGGAACUACCUGGAUUCCCUGAUAACACCAAAAAUAAUGUAAUGUAUAAGAAACUGAAGCAAAAUGCAGCCCUCAGAAUUUUUCUAGUCCCUAUUGUGGAGAUAGAAAUGCUUGUUGGAUUUCGACUACCUCUAUCUGACAAGGCAGCUGGUUUAUUAAUACUUCUUUGGCCGAGGCUUUGCUCAUCCCUGCCGCCCACAUCUUGGAGACAGGAAGGCAGGCCAGCCUCCACUGUGUCACACAAGUCCUGCUCCCUUCACCUGCCCUGAGUCACUGGGUCACUGAAGAGAAAGGGCAUGCUGUAGAUCUGGUUAGUUCAGUCUAGAAUAGACCGUGGGAGAUAGGUGAGCAUUUAUGAAAAGCCCAGAUGCCAUGACAACCCAGUUUUGUCCUGGAAUUUGGGUGGAGGUGUAGUCCUGGGUUCUGGUCUUAAACGUCGCUGAGUACUUGAGUUCUUUUUGAUUUUCCUCAGAUUUUUCCACAUCUAUUUUCCCCUUUCUGGAUUUUGGAAAAAUCCAAAUUGAUGUCUGCCGAAGUUUGUAUAUAAUUGAAGAAUUUCUUCAUAUAAAGGCUGCAGCGUUGUAAGAAAUCUGUGUGUACUUUCUCUGCUCAUAAAUAUUUACCCCCAAAUGUUAUCAUCUUGCAUAGAUUGUACUUUUUUG
RNAcentral lists this long non-coding RNA (3200 nucleotides) under Homo sapiens (human). RNAcentral's name for it is "non-protein coding SNHG10:1". Lineage: Eukaryota; Metazoa; Chordata; Mammalia; Primates; Hominidae. The record is from RNAcentral.